UAUCCGACCAUACAGGCAAUAGCUAGGGACAUUUUAGCUAUUCCUGUAUCCACUGUUGCUUCUGAGUCAGCAUUUAGUACUAGUGGAAGGUUGGUGAGUCCACAUCGUAGUAGACUUCAUCCAAACACAUUAUAAGCAUUAAUGUGUGCACAAAGUUGGUUGUGGGGUGCAGAGAUGAAAGGAAAUUCAACAUUGGAAUCGGUGGGCUAUGCAACUAUAUAUGAUAAUGAUGAAAUCGAGUCGGAUCAGUCAUGUGCCACUUUUGUGAAUUCAAGUUGAAGGAGAUGAUGGAAGUUGUGUGGUUUGUAUGGGUAUUGGACAAACAAUGGAUUUGAUUUUUUAUGUUGUAAUGGAUAUUUUUUUUUUUAAUUUCAAUUUUUGGG
Long non-coding RNA from Camellia sinensis, 383 nucleotides. RefSeq lists it as uncharacterized. The record is from RefSeq and is a predicted model, not a curated record. Lineage: Eukaryota; Viridiplantae; Streptophyta; Magnoliopsida; Ericales; Theaceae.